This is a long non-coding RNA of Sarcophilus harrisii (Tasmanian devil), 675 nucleotides long. RefSeq lists it as uncharacterized. The record is from RefSeq and is a predicted model, not a curated record. The transcript has 3 exons. Lineage: Eukaryota; Metazoa; Chordata; Mammalia; Dasyuromorphia; Dasyuridae.
UGAAGUCACAACCUCAAUUGGGUCCCAAGCCAGAAUAAAACAAAAACCCAAGACAUGAGGGAAUAUAGCUUUUAAACUACUUGAGUCACCUUAGGGCCAUUGUGAGGUCAACAGGAUUAGUGAGGAAAGGGAUAUUUGCCAGAGAAGUGGCAGAAUGUGGGUGCUCCAGGCCCCUGACUCAGUUUUCUGUGGUUCAGAGAUUUCACCUUCCUAAGCUUUUCCCCUCUUCCCAUGUUCGCUCUCAGUUCAGUUUCCAAAUGUUACACAUGGAGUCUUCAGGUAUUUGAACUAUGUGAGGUCUUGAUUUUAUUUUCCAUAAUGAAAAAAAUGAACUGGACUAAUUGAGCGAAAAAUUCUUGCAUUUUUCAAGUAAGAACUGAAUUUGGAAACAUCCUACAUCAAAGCACCAGUGUUUAACAUAAUAUCUGGAACAUAGGAGAUAUUUAUUGAUUGACUGACUGAACAAUGGAAUGACCAAUCAUAAUUCCAAGGAACCAAUGAUGACACAAGCUAUCCACCUUUUCAAAGAAAGUUGAUGUGCUUAUGAUGCAGAAUGAGGAUUGCUAGCUCCAGUUUGGAAGACACCAUUCUAAACCACAGAGCUCCUUUAUUUCACUACCUGCCAAGCCAGAUCUUUGCAUCCAGGAAUCCCAGAUGGACUAAAUUGUGGCAAUC